RNAcentral lists this long non-coding RNA (1079 nucleotides) under Daucus carota (carrot). RNAcentral's name for it is "long non-coding RNA (DCAR_LNC001158)". Lineage: Eukaryota; Viridiplantae; Streptophyta; Magnoliopsida; Apiales; Apiaceae. The record is from RNAcentral.
CAACUGGCAUUGUGCUGCUAUAUGCUUCUACUUUAAUUUUUUUAGCAUGCUCUAUUUUUGAAUGACCACUUCUCUGUAGUAAGAAGUAUAAUUUUCUGCGACUUUUAUUUAGCCUUCUUUUCAGAUAAUAAUAACCCUACCCCUAUAUGAGACUUUGCUUAAAGUUAUAUAGGAUGAAUCCAGAAGUUCCUUCUCUGAUUGCUUUUAUAUCUGCAGGCUGAUCAAUGGAAACUCAACUAGUGAACAUGAUCUUGUCAUGAAGAAUGAUCUUGAACACCUGUUGCAUCUUUUACAUGGAAAGGGAUGGGAUAGGCCUUGGCAAUAUCUCAUGGACCACUCUACCUCAAACAGGGCGUAUCAAGCCUGGCACCAUGAGCUUGAGGUACACUUGAACUUAACAUUGUUAUCUGCUUUCACUUGCAACGGUUUAAGGGUUGUAUGUGGUCACUUUUUGCGUCCAAUUGGGAAGUGUCAGAAGACUUUGAGUUUGUCUCAAAAAUAAGUUAUGUAACUGUAUUUUAUGUAGGUACAAUGUUAAAAAAGUGUUGACAAGCGGAAGGGCGGAGGGAGUAUUAUUAAGUGUGUUAGUCUAUAGAUGAUAGACUGAUCUUUAUUUAAUGUUUCAGCUAGUGGUGCAUCGUGCUGAGUUGGAACGAAUGAACUACGAGAAUCAGAGACUGGGGGACAUGGUGGAUGAGGUGACCACCAAAUACCAAUUACAACAAUCUUCGGAUGCAUUUAGUCGCAUUUAUGCAGCAGCAGCAACAGAAAGUGGAUAAUAAUGAAGUAGAAGCAGAUGUUGUGAUAAUAAUAAUAAGGGUGAGCAAUUUGUUAGACAAAAUAGCAUGCGAAAUACAGUGCCUACACGGAUCAUUGAUCUCGGUCACAAUUUUCGGUGAAAGAAAAGCUAUAAUUUCUUAUAUUCCAACAAAAAUUACAGAAUAAAAAGAUUCAAAAAAUUAUAGAUCAUAGACAUCUUUUAAAAUGUCUUAAAUUCUAUUUUUUUCUUACUCGCGCGGAGCGCGUUUUUUUCACUAGUUCAAUAAUAUAGUAGGAUAAAAGUGAAUUUGUGCGACUUA